RNAcentral lists this ribosomal RNA (254 nucleotides) under uncultured bacterium. Its description in RNAcentral is "partial 16S ribosomal RNA". It matches the Rfam family "Bacterial small subunit ribosomal RNA", at positions 524 to 776 of the family's 1533-position model. The record is from RNAcentral.
UACGUAGGGGGGCAAGCGUUGUCCGGAUUUAUUGGGCGUAAAGAGCGUGUAGGCGGCCGUACAGGUCAGCUGUGAAAACUCGAGGCUCAACCUCGAGACGUCGGUUGAAACCGUACGGCUAGAGUCCGGAAGAGGAGAGUGGAAUUCCCGGUGUAGCGGUGAAAUGCGCAGAUAUCGGGAAGAACACCCGUGGCGAAGGCGGCUCUCUGGGACGGUACUGACGCUGAGACACGAAAGCGUGGGUAGCAAACAGG